This 679-nucleotide long non-coding RNA is filed under the name Lathyrus oleraceus (garden pea). RNAcentral's name for it is "Pisum sativum (pea) long non-coding RNA (PSAT_LNC007471)". The record is from RNAcentral. Lineage: Eukaryota; Viridiplantae; Streptophyta; Magnoliopsida; Fabales; Fabaceae.
UUAACUUAGAUUUUAAAAAUUUCACAACAAAAUAAUUUUCUGAACUGCUAAUAACAUUUUUACUCAAUCCUGUCCAACCCUGGUUCACCCUAUUCCUUGUCUCAAGUCCCUUCGGCUUCAGCGAGGACUCUAUAGAAGAGUAGAAAUCUAUGACUUAUCUAGAUCAUGGUGAAUGUUGAUAUGUUUCACACUUUGUGAAUUUAUCGUGACCCGGUCUGAAAAAACUUCCCUUGAAAAGGAAUUUGAUAUUUGUUUUCUAAAAUAAGGCUAUAAGAUGUCUUGCCAUGAUAUUAUGAGUUCUAUAACGGUAUGCUCCUGAUUGGCUAACUUUUGGAGUUGAGAGCUUCAGUUUACUCUGCUUUUUGGAAGAAUUUCCUUGAUGUUAAAUGUUGAUUUGCAAAUAAAAUUGUUCAUUCAAAAAAUUGUAAUUGUAAUGCAAUGCUCAUGCAAAAAUUUGAAAUCAAUUAAUUAUUGAAAUGAAGGUGAUAUACAAUGAAUGAAUCACAAGUUUAUUCAUGAAAGACAAUGAGAUAUGAUACCGACACAGAUGAUUAGCAAAUAUCUAGGAGUCAGGUUAACAUCUUUUUUAGGAUGCUUUCAAAAGAAACCGUGCUUCAGUUACAUCUUUUACAUGUUGUAAUGUGGCCUGGUUCACAUCUUUUGAACAAAAAGAUAUGAG